GGGCUUGUACUGGUUUCGACGGGGAUUUUGAAGUUCUAUAAGCCAUCCGUGGACUAGGACCACGAUAAAACUUAGACUUAAAAUUAAUCGCUAAUAAUAACGAUUACGCUCUUGCUGCUUAAUUUUUAAGCGGUAUGGGUUCCGGAUCAAUUUAGCAUCCGGUGUCAGCCGCACUUAACCUGCUAUUUGCGAUACUGGCAUCAAAUGACGCAGGGAACUUCGCUCUGAAAGCUUUGACGGAGCAGAAGAACUUAUGAAGCUACUGAUGCAUUAAUCCUGUCUGUGGGAUCUUGCAAAGGGAAUGUGCAGCGCCGCAAGGUUAGCCGCCUGAAUGCAGACUGUGAUGGAAGAAAGUGGAAUGAAUGGGUUUUCGGACAGGGGUUCGAUUCCCCUCAGGUCCAU
RNAcentral lists this transfer-messenger RNA (402 nucleotides) under bovine gut metagenome. It matches the Rfam family "transfer-messenger RNA". From Rfam's summary of the family: Bacterial tmRNA, also known as 10Sa RNA or SsrA, is named for its dual tRNA and mRNA-like properties. The record is from RNAcentral.